GCACCGAGGCGGCCCGGCUUGCCGGGUUGCCACAUGAAUUGAUGCGGACUUCGGUUCGUAUGAAAAAAACCACCUUUCGGGGUGGUUUUUUUUA
This 94-nucleotide non-coding RNA is filed under the name Paralcaligenes ureilyticus. Lineage: Bacteria; Pseudomonadati; Pseudomonadota; Betaproteobacteria; Burkholderiales; Alcaligenaceae. The record is from RNAcentral.